This 247-nucleotide long non-coding RNA is filed under the name Setaria italica (foxtail millet). RNAcentral's name for it is "long non-coding RNA (SITA_LNC000072)". Lineage: Eukaryota; Viridiplantae; Streptophyta; Magnoliopsida; Poales; Poaceae. The record is from RNAcentral.
AUGCAUGCAUGUCUCUUCAAAUCGCUUGACACCUACCAGCCCGUAGGAAAGUAGUUUUUGCUUGACUCUUAAGCAUGUGGGAAGAACACCAUUCUAGAAUUGUUCAAGCACAACCUAUUCAAUUGUCAUGCUCAGCUGAUUCUUCAUAUCCAAGCUCUUGAGGUUAGUCAUGGUGACAUACUAGAGGAGCUUGUCUACUACUCCCUUCGUUCCAAAUUGUAGGUCGUUUUGACUUUCUAAGUUUAUA